RNAcentral lists this ribosomal RNA (627 nucleotides) under uncultured bacterium. RNAcentral describes it as "bacterial SSU rRNA". It matches the Rfam family "Bacterial small subunit ribosomal RNA", at positions 167 to 810 of the family's 1533-position model. The record is from RNAcentral.
UACCGCAUAAGACCACACUUCCACAUGGGAGAGGGGUCAAAGGAGCAAUCCGCUGAAAGAUGGGCUCGCGUCCGAUUAGAUAGUUGGGGGGGUAACGGCCCACCAAGUCGACGAUCGGUAGCCGGACUGAGAGGUUGAACGGCCACAUUGGGACUGAGACACGGCCCAGACUCCUACGGGAGGCAGCAGUGAGGGAUAUUGGUCAAUGGGGGAAACCCUGAACCAGCAACGCCGCGUGAGGGAAGACGGUUUUCGGAUUGUAAACCUCUGUCCUCUGUGAAGAUAAUGACGGUAGCAGAGGAGGAAGCUCCGGCUAACUACGUGCCAGCAGCCGCGGUAAUACGUAGGGAGCGAGCGUUGUCCGGAUUUACUGGGUGUAAAGGGUGCGUAGGCGGGUAAGCAAGUCAGAAGUGAAAUCCAUGGGCUUAACCCAUGAACUGCUUUUGAAACUGUUUAUCUUGAGUGAAGUAGAGGUAGGCGGAAUUCCCGGUGUAGCGGUGAAAUGCGUAGAGAUCGGGAGGAACACCAGUGGCGAAGGCGGCCUACUGGGCUUUAACUGACGCUGAAGCACGAAAGCGUGGGUAGCAAACAGGAUUAGAUACCCUGGUAGUCCAUGCCGUAAACGAC